AAAAGGAUAAAAAGAAAGGUGCACAGCACAAAGAUUAUGUACAACUUGAGCAUGGAUAUUGAAUCCAGAAUCACACAAAAAUUUAUGUUCCUGAAAACUGGUUGUCAUCCCCUGUAUUACUACAUAUGCACCAUUUUCGUAAAAUUGUUCCACCCUUUAUCUUCUCCAUAGAUGUAUCAGCAGCUUUUUCAAAUUUCCCUUACCCCAGCAAAGUUCCACGUGAUCCUCCUAUCACCAGUCUUUGCAAGGUUCUUCCCUAUGUCAGGGAAAUAUCUACCACCAGUCCCUUUAGCAACCUUGUUAGAAUGUUUACAUCUCUUUAACUUCCAUUAAUCAAUAGUUUGUCCAAGAUAUUCAAUGACAACCAAGCCCAGUAUCAAUAAGGACAAUUUUUAAUUAUCAUCAUUGUGGAUAUCAGACUAUGAAAAGACUAGGCUACAACAUAAUUUUGAUGAAUUUUAAUAACAAAUGCCUAUGGUUGUCACCUUCAAUUUCUG
This 497-nucleotide long non-coding RNA is filed under the name Coffea arabica (coffee). RNAcentral's name for it is "long non-coding RNA (CARA_LNC007917)". The record is from RNAcentral. Lineage: Eukaryota; Viridiplantae; Streptophyta; Magnoliopsida; Gentianales; Rubiaceae.